Molecule: long non-coding RNA, 610 nt
Filed under: Brassica napus (rape)
Lineage: Eukaryota; Viridiplantae; Streptophyta; Magnoliopsida; Brassicales; Brassicaceae
Description: long non-coding RNA (BNAP_LNC026016)
Source: RNAcentral
UCAUCGAGGCGGAGGGGGGAUGUGGAGGGUCCGAAGGGAUCUUGAAUGGAGGAUUGAUGAGAGCACAUUGAAGUACCAUCACUCUCAUCGGGGACGUUAUGUGGGAUGAGUUGGGGGGAGAAAGAGAAUCGACAAAGAGAUCGAGACAGCGAUUAGGGUUAUUGAUUUGGGGGGGGGGGAGAAAGAGAAUCGACAAAGAGAUCGAGACAGCGAUUAGGGUUAUUGAUUUGGGGGGGGGGGAGAAAGAGAAUCGACAAAGAGAGAGAGACGGCAAUUAGGGUUAGAGAGAAAAGAAAAGGGGAUCGAGAGAACGAUUUCAAAGAGAGAGAGAGCUCUGGAAAUGAGUAAUGGGCUCCGACCAAUACGUAAAAUCAAGAGAGGCGCGGGAGUGGGCUAGGAGAUGGGUCUAAUGGGCUGCGAAUUGUUGAAUUUUUUUUUAAUCCCAAGCCCAGUCCGGGAUGAUAUGGCAUAUUGAUUGGUUCUCACUAUUUUUGCCUAUGUGGCAGUGCUUAGGAGAGAGGGAUUUAGCCCCUUUUAUAUAGUGGGAUUACAUUCGAAAACAUUAUUUUGAGUCAAAUUUAAGUUAGAGUAUUAAAUCUGAAGAUAAAUA